CUCAACCGGGGAGGGUCAUUGGAAACUGGGAAACUUGAGUGCAGAAGAGGAGAGUGGAAUUCCACGUGUAGCGGUGAAAUGCGUAGAGAUGUGGAGGAACACCAGUGGCGAAGGCGACUCUCUGGUCUGUAACUGACGCUGAGGAGCGAAAGCGUGGGGAGCGAACAGGAUUAGAUACCCUGGUAGUCCACGCCGUAAACGAUGAGUGCUAAGUGUUAGGGGGUUUCCGCCCCUUAGUGCUGCAGCUAACGCAUUAAGCACUCCGCCUGGGGAGUACGGUCGCAAGACUGAAACUCAAAGGAAUUGACGGGGGCCCGCACAAGCGGUGGAGCAUGUGGUUUAAUUCGAAGCAACGCGAAGAACCUUACCAGGUCUUGACAUCCUCUGACAACCCUAGAGAUAGGGCUUUCCCUUCGGGGACAGAGUGACAGGUGGUGCAUGGUUGUCGUCAGCUCGUGUCGUGAGAUGUUGGGUUAAGUCCCGCAACGAGCGCAACCCUUGAUCUUAGUUGCCAGCAUUCAGUUGGGCACUCUAAGGUGACUGCCGGUGACAAACCGGAGGAAGGUGGGGAUGACGUCAAAUCAUCAUGCCCCUUAUGACCUGGGCUACACACGUGCUACAAUGGACAGAACAAAAGGGCUGCAAGACCGCAAGGUUUAGCCAAUCCCAUAAAUCUGUUCUCAGUUCGGAUCGCAGUCUGCAACUCGACUGCGUGAAGCUGGAAUCGCUAGUAAUCGCGGAUCAGCAUGCCGCGGGUGAAUAACAUUCCCCGGGCCUUGUA
This 781-nucleotide ribosomal RNA is filed under the name Bacillus pumilus. RNAcentral describes it as "bacterial SSU rRNA". It matches the Rfam family "Bacterial small subunit ribosomal RNA", at positions 608 to 1385 of the family's 1533-position model. Lineage: Bacteria; Bacillati; Bacillota; Bacilli; Caryophanales; Bacillaceae. The record is from RNAcentral.